RNAcentral lists this ribosomal RNA (254 nucleotides) under uncultured bacterium. Its description in RNAcentral is "partial 16S ribosomal RNA". It matches the Rfam family "Bacterial small subunit ribosomal RNA", at positions 524 to 776 of the family's 1533-position model. The record is from RNAcentral.
CACGUAGGGGGCGAGCGUUGUCCGGAUUUAUUGGGCGUAAAGAGCUCGUAGGCGGCUCAGUAAGUCGGGUGUGAAAACUCCAGGCUCAACCUGGAGACGCCACCUGAUACUGCUGUGGCUAGAGUCCGGUAGGGGAGCAUGGAAUUCCUGGUGUAGCGGUGAAAUGCGCAGAUAUCAGGAGGAACACCAGUGGCGAAGGCGGCAUCCUGGACCGGUAUUGACGCUGAUGCGCGAAAGCCAGGGGAGCAAACGGG